RNAcentral lists this ribosomal RNA (253 nucleotides) under uncultured bacterium. RNAcentral's name for it is "partial 16S ribosomal RNA". It matches the Rfam family "Bacterial small subunit ribosomal RNA", at positions 524 to 776 of the family's 1533-position model. The record is from RNAcentral.
UACAGAGGGUGCAAACGUUGUUCGGAAUUACUGGGCGUAAAGCGUGCGUAGACGGUUAUUUAAGUCGGAUGUGAAAGCCCCGGGCUCAACCUGGGAAUUGCAUUCGAGACUGAAUAGCUAGGGUGCGGUAGAGGGAAGCGGAAUUUCCGGUGUAGCGGUGAAAUGCGUAGAUAUCGGAAGGAACAUCAGUGGCGAAAGCGGCUUCCUGGACCAGCACCGACGUUCAGGCACGAAAGCGUGGGGAGCAAACAGG